CCCAUUGGGGUCCUCCAUAUCCCACCGGGGUCGUCUGUAUUCCAUUGGGGUCCCUGUGUCCCACUGAUGUCCCACAAUCCCAUUAGGGUCCUCCAUGUCCCAUUGGGUGCCUAUGCCCCAUUGGGAUCCCAUUGGGGUCCUCCAUGUCCCAUUGGGGUCCCCAUGUCCCAUUAGGGUCCUCCAUAUCCCACUGGGGUCGUCUGUAUUCCAUUGGGAUCCCCAUGCCCCAUUGAUGUCCCACUGUCCCAUUGGGGACCUCCAUGUCCCAUUGGGGUCCCCAUGUCCCAUUGGGGUCCCAAAGUCCCACUGAUGUCCCUGAGUCCCAUUAGGGUCCUCCAUGUCCCAUUGGGGUCGCCCGUAUUCCACUGGGGUCCCCAUGUCCCAUUAUGGUCCCACUGAUGUCCCGGAGUCCCAUUGGGGUCCCAAUGUCCCACUGGGGUGGGGGUCCCCAUUGGUGGGGGUCCCUAUGGGUGGGGGGUUGGUUUUGAGUUCGGGUUUGCAUUUGGAUCUGAUUUUGGAUUUGGGUUCGGUUUCAGCUUUGGGUUCAGGUUUGGGUUCAGGUUUGGGUUCAGGUUCGGGUUCAGGUUUGGGUUCAGGUUUGGGAUCAGGUUUGGGAUCAGGUUUGGGUUCAGGUGCGGGGAUGGGGUGUGAGUAUAGGGUGCAAGUAAGGGGUGCAGGGUGUGGGUGUGGGGUGUGGGGUGUAGGGUGUGGGUUUGGGUUUGGGUUCAGGUUCAGGUUCGGGUUUGGGUUCAGGUUUGGGUUCAGGUUUGGGUUUGGGUUCGGGUUCAGGUUUGGGUUUGGGUUCAGGUUUGGGUUCAGGUUCAGGUUUGGAUUCAGGUUCAGGUUCGGGUUCAGGUUUGUGUUCAGGUUCAGGUUUGGGUUCAGGUUGGUAUUCAGGUUUGUGUUUGGUUUUGGGUUCAGGUUCGGCUUCAAGUUCCGGUUCCGGUUCGCGUUCAGGUUCAGUUUUGGGUUCAGGUUCAGUUUUGGGUUCAGGUUCAGUUUUGGGUUCAGGUUCAGGUUUGGGUUCAGGUUCGGGUUUGGGUUCAGGUUUGGGUUCAAGUUCUGGUUCAGGUUUGUGUUUCUGUUUGGGUUCAGCUUUGGGUUCAGCUUUGGGUUCAGCUUUGGGUUCGGGUUUGGGUUCAUGUUUGGGAUCAGGUUUGGGAUCAGGUUCGAGUUCAGGUUUGGGUUCAGGUUUGGGUUCAGCUUUGGGCUGAGGUUUGGGUUCAGGUUUGGGUUCGGGUUUGGGUUCAGGUUUGGAUUCAGGUUUGUGUUCAGGUUCGGGUUCAGCUUUGGGUUCGGGUUUGGGUUCAGGUUUGGGUUCGGGUUGAGGUUUGGGUUCAGGAGCGGGGAUGGGUUCGGGUUCAGGUUCAGGUUCUGCUUUGGACUCAGGUUUGGGUUCAGUUUGAGGUUUGGGCUCAGGUUUGAGUUUGGGUUUGGGUUCAAGUUCCGGUUCUGGUUUAGGUUCAGGUUCGGGUUCGGGUUCGGAUUUGGGUUCGGGUUCGGGUUUGGAUUUGGGUUCGAGCGGCACAUUUUGGGCCGGAUUUGUGCGCGGCGCUGCCGAGGCUCCGAUCCGGCCGCAGGNNNNNNNNNNNNNNNNNNNNGCGGAACCCGACCGGUCUGCGGGCCGAACCGAACCGAACCGCACCGAACCGCACCGCGCUCCCAUUGCGGCUCUGCGCGGCACUGCGGGCUCUGCGCACCCCACACCCGCACCCCAUUCCCGCACCCUACACACCCCACACCCACACCCCACACCCCACAUCUGCACCCCGUACCACACACCCACACCCCAUCCCCAUCCCCGCACCCGCACCCUGCACCUGCACCCCAUCCCCNNNNNNNNNNNNN
Long non-coding RNA from Phasianus colchicus (ring-necked pheasant), 1848 nucleotides. NCBI's taxonomy places the organism in Eukaryota, Metazoa, Chordata, Aves, Galliformes, Phasianidae. The record is from Ensembl.